AGAAUCAACGCUGGCGGCGUGCCUAACACAUGCAAGUCGAACGAGAAAGUGGAGCAAUCCAUGAGUAAAGUGGCGCACGGGUGAGUAACACGUGACUAACCUACCCUUGAGUGGGGAAUAACUUCGGGAAACCGAGGCUAAUACCGCAUAACACCUACGGGUCAAAGGAGCAAUUCGCUUAAGGAGGGGGUCGCGGCAGAUUAGUUAGUUGGCAGGGUAAUGGCCUACCAAGACGGUGAUCUGUAUCCGGCCUGAGAGGGCGCACGGACACACUGGAACUGAAACACGGUCCAGACUCCUACGGGAGGCAGCAGUGGGGAAUUUUGCGCAAUGGGGGAAACCCUGACGCAGCAACGCCGCGUGGAGGAUGAAGUCCUUGGGACGUAAACUCCUUUCGAUCGGGACGAUUAUGACGGUACCGGAAGAAGAAGCCCCGGCUAACUUCGCGCCAGCAGCCGC
Molecule: ribosomal RNA, 459 nt
Filed under: uncultured bacterium
Lineage: Bacteria
Description: SSU rRNA
Rfam family: Bacterial small subunit ribosomal RNA
Source: RNAcentral